RNAcentral lists this unclassified non-coding RNA (225 nucleotides) under Bjerkandera adusta. Its description in RNAcentral is "ITS1". Lineage: Eukaryota; Fungi; Basidiomycota; Agaricomycetes; Polyporales; Phanerochaetaceae. The record is from RNAcentral.
AAGGAUCAUUAUCGAGUUUUGAACGGGUUGUCUGCUGGCUCGCGAGAGCAUGUGCACGCCUGUCUUCAUCCACUCUCCACUUCUGUGCACUUUUCAUAGGCCGGCUUGUGGGUGCACGUUCGCGUGUGUCUGUAGGUCUGGUUUAUGCUUUAUACUACAAACGAAUCAGUUUUAGAAUGUCAUACUUUGCUAUAACGCAAUUAUAUACAACUUUCAGCAACGGAU